UACAGGGGGUGCAAACGUUGCUCGGAAUCAUUGGGCGUAAAGCGCACGUAGGCGGUUCGUUAUGUCGGAUGUGAAAGCCCUUGGCUUAACCGAGGAAGUGCAUCCGAAACUGGCGAGCUAGAGUACUAAAGAGGAUCGCGGAAUUCCCGGUGUAGAGGUGAAAUUCGUAGAUAGUCGGGAGGAACACCGGUGGCGAAGGCGGCGAUCUGGGUCGAUACUGACGCUGAGGUGCGAAAGCGUGGGGAGCAAACAGG
RNAcentral lists this ribosomal RNA (254 nucleotides) under uncultured bacterium. RNAcentral describes it as "partial 16S ribosomal RNA". It matches the Rfam family "Bacterial small subunit ribosomal RNA", at positions 524 to 776 of the family's 1533-position model. The record is from RNAcentral.